UCCUCCGGGUGCUCUCGCUCUAGAGCAGCGGUUUCCUAAACCGUGUGUCGCAGGUUCGAUUCCUGCCGGGGGCA
RNAcentral lists this transfer RNA (74 nucleotides) under Acidobacteriota bacterium. RNAcentral describes it as "Acidobacteria bacterium tRNA-Arg". The stretch from base 11 to 74 matches the Rfam family "tRNA". From Rfam's summary of the family: Transfer RNA (tRNA) molecules are approximately 80 nucleotides in length. Their secondary structure includes four short double-helical elements and three loops (D, anti-codon, and T loops). Lineage: Bacteria; Pseudomonadati; Acidobacteriota. The record is from RNAcentral.